UGUAAGAUGGAGAAUUGGCAAAUGG
Molecule: unclassified non-coding RNA, 25 nt
Filed under: Mus musculus (house mouse)
Lineage: Eukaryota; Metazoa; Chordata; Mammalia; Rodentia; Muridae
Description: piRNA piR-mmu-68364022
Source: RNAcentral